CGGAGGGUGCAAGCGUUAAUCGGAAUUACGUGGGCGUAAAGCGCGUCGUAGGCGGCUUGGUAAGUCGAUUGUGAAAUCCCCGGGCUCAACCUGGGAAUUGCAGUCGAGACUGCUUGGCUAGAGUGUAGGAGAGGGUGGUGGAAUUCCCGGUGUAGCGGUGAAAUGCGUAGAUAUCGGGAGGAACAUCAGUGGCGAAGGCGACCACCUGGCCUAACACUGACGCUGAGGUGCGAAAGCGUGGGUAGCAAACAGGAUUAGAUACCCUGGUAGUCCACGCCGUAAACGAUGUCAACUAGCCGUUGGAGGACCUUAGACGUCUUUAGUGGCGCAGCUAACGCACUAAGUUGACCGCCUGGGGAGUACGGCCGCAAGGUUA
Molecule: ribosomal RNA, 376 nt
Filed under: uncultured organism
Description: bacterial SSU rRNA
Rfam family: Bacterial small subunit ribosomal RNA
Source: RNAcentral